UCCGGUUUGUCACCGGCAGUCUGGCGUGAGUCCCCAACUUAAUGCUGGCAACACGCCACGGGGGUUGCGCUCGUUGCGGGACUUAACCCAACAUCUCACGACACGAGCUGACGACAGCCAUGCAGCACCUGUGCUGGUGUCCCGAAGGAGGCCCGGUGUUUCCACCGGGUUGCACCAGCAUGUCAAGCCCAGGUAAGGUUCUUCGCGUUGCGUCGAAUUAAACCACAUGCUCCACCGCUUGUGCGGGCCCCCGUCAAUUCCUUUGAGUUUCAGUCUUGCGACCGUACUCCCCAGGCGGAGUGCUUAAUGUGUUGACGUCGGCACAGCAGGGGUCGAUACCCGCUACACCAAGCACUCAUCGUUUACGGCGUGGACUAC
This 378-nucleotide unclassified non-coding RNA is filed under the name uncultured bacterium. RNAcentral's name for it is "contains 16S-23S intergenic spacer region". The record is from RNAcentral.